Molecule: ribosomal RNA, 484 nt
Filed under: uncultured bacterium
Lineage: Bacteria
Description: partial 16S ribosomal RNA
Rfam family: Bacterial small subunit ribosomal RNA
Source: RNAcentral
AUUGAACGCUGGCGGCAUGCUUUACACAUGCAAGUCGAACGGCAGCGCGGGCUUCGGCCUGGAGGCGAGUGGCGAACGGGUGAGUAAUACAUCGGAAAGUGCCCAGUAGUGGGGGAUAGCUCGGCGAAAGCCGGAUUAAUUCCGCAUACGAACUGAGGGUGAAAGCGGGGGGUCUUCGGACCUCGCGCUAUUGGAGCUGCCGAUGGCCGCUUAGCUCGUUGGUGGGGUAAAGGCCUACCAAGGCGACGCUCUGUAGCUGGUCUGAGAGGACGACCAGCCACACUGGGACUGAGACACGGCCCAGACUCCUACGGGAGGCAGCAGUGGGGAAUGUUGGACAAUGGGCGAAAGCCUGAUCCAGCAAUGCCGCGUGUGUGAUGAAGGCCUUCGGGUUGUAAAGCACUUUUGGCGGGAACGAAAAGGACUGUGCCAAUACCACGGUUCGAUGACGGUACCCGCAGAAUAAGCACCGGCUAACUACGUG